GGACCCGCACAAGUAGUGGAGCAUGUGGUUUAAUUCGAAGAUACGCGCAGAACCUUACCAACACUUGACAUGUUCGUCGCGACUUUAAGAGAUUAAAGUUUUCGGUUCGGCCGGACGAAACACAGGUGCUGCAUGGCUGUCGUCAGCUCGUGUCGUGAGAUGUUGGUUAAGUCCCGCAACGAGCGCAACCCUCACUUUUAGUUGCCAUCAUUAAGUUGGGCACUCUGAAAGAACUGCCAGUGAUAAGCUGGAGGAAGGUGGGGAUGACGUCAAGUCCUCAUGGCCCUUACGUGUUGGGCUACACACGUGCUACAAUGGCAUCUACAGUGGGUUAAUCCCCAAAAGAUGUCU
This 351-nucleotide ribosomal RNA is filed under the name uncultured bacterium. RNAcentral describes it as "bacterial SSU rRNA". It matches the Rfam family "Bacterial small subunit ribosomal RNA", at positions 917 to 1288 of the family's 1533-position model. The record is from RNAcentral.